RNAcentral lists this ribosomal RNA (473 nucleotides) under uncultured organism. Its description in RNAcentral is "partial 16S ribosomal RNA". It matches the Rfam family "Bacterial small subunit ribosomal RNA", at positions 331 to 800 of the family's 1533-position model. The record is from RNAcentral.
GUACACUCCUACGGGAGGCAGCAGUGAGGAAUAUUGGACAAUGGGUGGAAGCCUGAUCCAGCCAUCCCGCGUGCAGGAAGACGGCCCUAUGGGUUGUAAACUGCUUUUAUCUGGGGAUAAACCUACUUACGUGUAAGUAGCUGAAGGUACCAGAAGAAUAAGCACCGGCUAACUCCGUGCCAGCAGCCGCGGUAAUACGGAGGGUGCAAGCGUUAUCCGGAUUUAUUGGGUUUAAAGGGUCCGUAGGCGGACUGAUAAGUCAGUGGUGAAAUCCGACAGCUUAACUGUCGAACUGCCAUUGAUACUGUUAGUCUUGAGUAAGGUUGAAGUGGCUGGAAUAAGUAGUGUAGCGGUGAAAUGCAUAGAUAUUACUUAGAACACCAAUUGCGAAGGCAGGUCACUAAGUCUUAACUGACGCUGAUGGACGAAAGCGUGGGGAGCGAACAGGAUUAGAAACCCCGGUAGUCCCAUGA